GAUGAACGCUGGCGGCGUGCUUAACACAUGCAAGUCGAACGGGAAAUACUUUAUUGAAACUUCGGUCGAUUUAAUUUAUUUCUAGUGGCGGACGGGUGAGUAACGCGUGGGUAACCUGCCUUAUACUGGGGGAUAACAGCCAGAAAUGGCUGCUAAUACCGCAUAAGCGCACAGAACCGCAUGGUUCCGUGUGAAAAACUCCGGUGGUAUAAGAUGGACCCGCGUUGGAUUAGCUGGUUGGCAGGGCAGCGGCCUACCAAGGCGACGAUCCAUAGCCGGCCUGAGAGGGUGAACGGCCACAUUGGGACUGAGACACGGCCCAGACUCCUACGGGAGGCAGCAGUGGGGAAUAUUGCACAAUGGGGGAAACCCUGAUGCAGCGACGCCGCGUGAAGGAAGAAGUAUCUCGGUAUGUAAACUUCUAUCAGCAGGGAAGAUAAUGACGG
This 446-nucleotide ribosomal RNA is filed under the name uncultured bacterium. Its description in RNAcentral is "bacterial SSU rRNA". It matches the Rfam family "Bacterial small subunit ribosomal RNA", at positions 28 to 457 of the family's 1533-position model. The record is from RNAcentral.